CAGUAGCCGCGGGAAUACGUAGGGCGCAAGCGUUAUCCGGAAUUAUUGGGCGUAAAGAGCUCGUAGGCGGUUUGUCGCGUCUGCCGUGAAAGUCCGGGGCUCAACCCCGGAUCUGCGGUGGGUACGGGCAGACUAGAGUGAUGUAGGGGAGACUGGAAUUACUGGUGUAGCGGUGAAAUGCGCAGAUAUCAGGAGGAACACCGAUGGCGAAGGCAGGUCUCUGGGCAUUAACUGACGCUGAGGAGCGAAAGCGUGGGGAGCGAACAGGAUUAGAUACCCCCGUAGUCCCUGUCUCUUAUAC
This 301-nucleotide ribosomal RNA is filed under the name uncultured bacterium. RNAcentral describes it as "partial 16S ribosomal RNA". It matches the Rfam family "Bacterial small subunit ribosomal RNA", at positions 509 to 807 of the family's 1533-position model. The record is from RNAcentral.